This 613-nucleotide ribosomal RNA is filed under the name uncultured bacterium. RNAcentral describes it as "bacterial SSU rRNA". The stretch from base 1 to 525 matches the Rfam family "Bacterial small subunit ribosomal RNA", at positions 338 to 873 of the family's 1533-position model. The record is from RNAcentral.
CCUACGGGAGGCAGCAGUGGGGAAUAUUGCACAAUGGGCGCAAGCCUGAUGCAGCAACGCCGCGUGAGGGACGACGGCCUUCGGGUUGUAAACCUCUUUUAGUAGGGAAGAAGCGAAAGUGACGGUACCUGCAGAAAAAGCACCGGCUAACUACGUGCCAGCAGCCGCGGUAAUACGUAGGGUGCAAGCGUUAUCCGGAAUUAUUGGGCGUAAAGAGCUCGUAGGCGGUUUGUCGCGUCUGCUGUGAAAACUGGAGGCUCAACCUCCAGCCUGCAGUGGGUACGGGCAGACUAGAGUGCGGUAGGGGAGAUUGGAAUUCCUGGUGUAGCGGUGGAAUGCGCAGAUAUCAGGAGGAACACCGAUGGCGAAGGCAGAUCUCUGGGCCGUAACUGACGCUGAGGAGCGAAAGCAUGGGGAGCGAACAGGAUUAGAUACCCUGGUAGUCCAUGCCGUAAACGUUGGGAACUAGAUGUAGGGACCAUUCCACGGUUUCUGUGUCGCNGACUACGACAUAAGUUACCCGUCCGUCGGGAGGUACGGCCGGCGACGGACGUAAACGUAAACGUAAAGUAGUUAGUUAGUAGAGAGUAGCGAGCGACGACGACGAGAGGAG